GGGUUGUGAGGUUAAGCGACUAAGCGUACACGGUGGAUGCCCUGGCAGUCAGAGGCGAUGAAGGACGUGCUAAUCUGCGAUAAGCGUCGGUAAGGUGAUAUGAACCGUUAUAACCGGCGAUUUCCGAAUGGGGAAACCCAGUGUGAUCCGUCACACUAUCAUUAACUGAAUCCAUAGGUUAAUGAGGCGAACCGGGGGAACUGAAACAUCUAAGUACCCCGAGGAAAAGAAAUCAACCGAGAUUCCCCCAGUAGCGGCGAGCGAACGGGGAGCAGCCCAGAGCCUGAAUCAGUGUGUGUGUUAGUGGAAGCGUCUGGAAAGGCGUGCGAUACAGGGUGACAGCCCCGUACACAAAAAUGCACAUGCUGUGAGCUCGAUGAGUAGGGCGGGACACGUGGUAUCCUGUCUGAAUAUGGGGGGACCAUCCUCCAAGGCUAAAUACUCCUGACUGACCGAUAGUGAACCAGUACCGUGAGGGAAAGGCGAAAAGAACCCCGGCGAGGGGAGUGAAAAAGAACCUGAAACCGUGUACGUACAAGCAGUGGGAGCCUCUUUAUGGGGUGACUGCGUACCUUUUGUAUAAUGGGUCAGCGACUUAUAUUCUGUAGCAAGGUUAACCGAAUAGGGGAGCCGAAGGGAAACCGAGUCUUAACUGGGCGUUAAGUUGCAGGGUAUAGACCCGAAACCCGGUGAUCUAGCCAUGGGCAGGUUGAAGGUUGGGUAACACUAACUGGAGGACCGAACCGACUAAUGUUGAAAAAUUAGCGGAUGACUUGUGGCUGGGGGUGAAAGGCCAAUCAAACCGGGAGAUAGCUGGUUCUCCCCGAAAGCUAUUUAGGUAGCGCCUCGUGAAUUCAUCUCCGGGGGUAGAGCACUGUUUCGGCAAGGGGGUCAUCCCGACUUACCAACCCGAUGCAAACUGCGAAUACCGGAGAAUGUUAUCACGGGAGACACACGGCGGGUGCUAACGUCCGUCGUGAAGAGGGAAACAACCCAGACCGCCAGCUAAGGUCCCAAAGUCAUGGUUAAGUGGGAAACGAUGUGGGAAGGCCCAGACAGCCAGGAUGUUGGCUUAGAAGCAGCCAUCAUUUAAAGAAAGCGUAAUAGCUCACUGGUCGAGUCGGCCUGCGCGGAAGAUGUAACGGGGCUAAACCAUGCACCGAAGCUGCGGCAGCGACACUAUGUGUUGUUGGGUAGGGGAGCGUUCUGUAAGCCGUUGAAGGUGUGCUGUGAGGCAUGCUGGAGGUAUCAGAAGUGCGAAUGCUGACAUAAGUAACGAUAAAGCGGGUGAAAAGCCCGCUCGCCGGAAGACCAAGGGUUCCUGUCCAACGUUAAUCGGGGCAGGGUGAGUCGACCCCUAAGGCGAGGCCGAAAGGCGUAGUCGAUGGGAAACAGGUUAAUAUUCCUGUACUUGGUGUUACUGCGAAGGGGGGACGGAGAAGGCUAUGUUGGCCGGGCGACGGUUGUCCCGGUUUAAGCGUGUAGGCUGAUUUUCCAGGCAAAUCCGGAGAAUCAAGGCUGAGGCGUGAUGACGAGGCACUACGGUGCUGAAGCAACAAAUGCCCUGCUUCCAGGAAAAGCCUCUAAGCAUCAGGUAACAUCAAAUCGUACCCCAAACCGACACAGGUGGUCAGGUAGAGAAUACCAAGGCGCUUGAGAGAACUCGGGUGAAGGAACUAGGCAAAAUGGUGCCGUAACUUCGGGAGAAGGCACGCUGAUGGUAGGUGAAGCGACUUGCUCGUGGAGCUGAAAUCAGUCGAAGAUACCAGCUGGCUGCAACUGUUUAUUAAAAACACAGCACUGUGCAAACACGAAAGUGGACGUAUACGGUGUGACGCCUGCCCGGUGCCGGAAGGUUAAUUGAUGGGGUCAGCCGCAAGGCGAAGCUCUUGAUCGAAGCCCCGGUAAACGGCGGCCGUAACUAUAACGGUCCUAAGGUAGCGAAAUUCCUUGUCGGGUAAGUUCCGACCUGCACGAAUGGCGUAAUGAUGGCCAGGCUGUCUCCACCCGAGACUCAGUGAAAUUGAACUCGCUGUGAAGAUGCAGUGUACCCGCGGCAAGACGGAAAGACCCCGUGAACCUUUACUAUAGCUUGACACUGAACAUUGAGCCUUGAUGUGUAGGAUAGGUGGGAGGCUUUGAAGUGUGGACGCCAGUCUGCAUGGAGCCGACCUUGAAAUACCACCCUUUAAUGUUUGAUGUUCUAACGUGGACCCGUGAUCCGGGUUGCGGACAGUGUCUGGUGGGUAGUUUGACUGGGGCGGUCUCCUCCUAAAGAGUAACGGAGGAGCACGAAGGUUGGCUAAUCCUGGUCGGACAUCAGGAGGUUAGUGCAAUGGCAUAAGCCAGCUUGACUGCGAGCGUGACGGCGCGAGCAGGUGCGAAAGCAGGUCAUAGUGAUCCGGUGGUUCUGAAUGGAAGGGCCAUCGCUCAACGGAUAAAAGGUACUCCGGGGAUAACAGGCUGAUACCGCCCAAGAGUUCAUAUCGACGGCGGUGUUUGGCACCUCGAUGUCGGCUCAUCACAUCCUGGGGCUGAAGUAGGUCCCAAGGGUAUGGCUGUUCGCCAUUUAAAGUGGUACGCGAGCUGGGUUUAGAACGUCGUGAGACAGUUCGGUCCCUAUCUGCCGUGGGCGCUGGAGAACUGAGGGGGGCUGCUCCUAGUACGAGAGGACCGGAGUGGACGCAUCACUGGUGUUCGGGUUGUCAUGCCAAUGGCACUGCCCGGUAGCUAAAUGCGGAAGAGAUAAGUGCUGAAAGCAUCUAAGCACGAAACUUGCCCCGAGAUGAGUUCUCCCUGAGACUUUAAGUCUCCUGAAGGAACGUUGAAGACGACGACGUUGAUAGGCCGGGUGUGUAAGCGCAGCGAUGCGUUGAGCUAACCGGUACUAAUGAACCGUGAGGCUUAACCUUACAACGCCGAAG
This 2924-nucleotide ribosomal RNA is filed under the name Escherichia marmotae. RNAcentral's name for it is "23S ribosomal RNA". It matches the Rfam family "Bacterial large subunit ribosomal RNA". The record is from RNAcentral. Lineage: Bacteria; Pseudomonadati; Pseudomonadota; Gammaproteobacteria; Enterobacterales; Enterobacteriaceae.